Long non-coding RNA from Toxorhynchites rutilus septentrionalis, 263 nucleotides. RefSeq lists it as uncharacterized. The transcript has 3 exons. Lineage: Eukaryota; Metazoa; Arthropoda; Insecta; Diptera; Culicidae. The record is from RefSeq and is a predicted model, not a curated record.
AAGCCGUUGAAGUACACCCUCUGUCAAUCUACCUGCGAGAGAGAACGUGUGAAAUAUGGACGUCAAAAGCUGCGCAAAUUGCCCGGAGAACAUGCAAGUCGGACGAAAUUUGCUUGAAGCUGACUCCGAACAAUCUGCAAAAUUCAAAAGCCGUAUUGUUUGUGUCGUCCCCGGAUGUAAGCAGAGAUAUCGCCCCGGAAUUUCUUUUCAUGCCUUCCCUCCGAAAACGGACAAAUCGCGCCUCCAUUUCACCGUGUCGAACU